This 489-nucleotide ribosomal RNA is filed under the name uncultured bacterium. Its description in RNAcentral is "bacterial SSU rRNA". It matches the Rfam family "Bacterial small subunit ribosomal RNA", at positions 501 to 987 of the family's 1533-position model. The record is from RNAcentral.
CUACGUGCCAGCAGCCGCGGUAAUACGUAGGGCGCGAGCGUUGUCCGGAAUUAUUGGGCGUAAAGGGCUUGUAGGCGGUUGGUCGCGUCUGCCGUGAAAUUCUCUGGCUUAACUGGGGGCGUGCGGUGGGUACGGGCUGACUUGAGUGCGGUAGGGGAGACUGGAACUCCUGGUGUAGCGGUGGAAUGCGCAGAUAUCAGGAGGAACACCGAUGGCGAAGGCAGGUCUCUGGGCUGUAACUGACGCUGAGAAGCGAAAGCAUGGGGAGCGAACAGGAUUAGAUACCCUGGUAGUCCAUGCCGUAAACGUUGGGCACUAGGUGUGGGGGACAUUCCACGUUUUCCGCGCCGUAGCUAACGCAUUAAGUGCCCCGCCUGGGGAGUACGGCCGCAAGGCUAAAACUCAAAGAAAUUGACGGGGGCCCGCACAAGCGGCGGAGCAUGCGGAUUAAUUCGAUGCAACGCGAAGAACCUUACCAAGGCUUGACAU